AAAUGUAGAAGAACAGUUCGAGCUCUGUGCAAGCUGUCCAUCACAUCUGGUUGCUAGCUUGUUUACAGCAGGGUGUAAACUGAUGUUCAGUUACCCACUGAACUUUUUCAUUAAACCAGAACUUUAAAAUAUGCAUGUAGAAUUUUAAAAAAUAGCCUGCACUAACGAAAGCAAUUUUUUAAAGUCUGAAACAGGGCUUUGCCAGGUUUUCAAAGCCAUCUGUUUUCAAAGCCUACCUUCCUCCUUGUUUACCACAGCCUGUCUGCUGUUUUAACAACCUCCAGUGGGAUUUCACACGCCUCAUUAUGCAAAAUCACUGCUUAUGCAUUCACUCCGCCACUUGCCUAACUAAUCUCAACUCAUAACACCUUUCUGAGGAAGAUCCCCAGUCUAGAGUCCUCCGAUGGGGCUGUAGAUCAAGAACAGUGGUAGAGAGUGUCGGAGCAAGACAAAAAGUAUCCUCCAGUGAAUUACUGUUAGGAGACAGGCUUGAUCUGAGACCCUACUUGAGGUGAGAAGC
Molecule: long non-coding RNA, 520 nt
Filed under: Bos taurus (domestic cattle)
Lineage: Eukaryota; Metazoa; Chordata; Mammalia; Artiodactyla; Bovidae
Description: long non-coding RNA NONBTAT015730
Source: RNAcentral